UACGUAGGAGACGAGCGUUGUCCGGAGUUACUGGGCGUAAAGGGCGCGUAGGCGGCACUGUUAGUCAGGCGUGAAAGUCCUGGGCUCAACCUGGGAACUGCGCUUGAUACGGCAGAGCUAGAGGAUGGAAGAGGCUCGCGGAAUUCCCAGUGUAGAGGUGAAAUUCGUAGAUAUUGGGAAGAACACCGGUGGCGAAGGCGGCGAGCUGGUCCAUUACUGACGCUGAGGCGCGACAGCGUGGGGAGCAAACAGG
Molecule: ribosomal RNA, 253 nt
Filed under: uncultured bacterium
Lineage: Bacteria
Description: partial 16S ribosomal RNA
Rfam family: Bacterial small subunit ribosomal RNA
Source: RNAcentral